GUUGGUUUCCUGAUAAAUAUUAUUCUGUGUAUCAGUCUUUUACUUUUGGCAGCCGCUUCAGUGUGGAGAGUGCUUCCUGCACGGUCCGUCUCCUGCCUCACGCAAAGCUGCCUCACGCUGGACCCUGAACCUUGGAAGGAAACCCAGGAAGAAAGCUCUUCGAGCUCCGGCGAUGCUGCUCUAAGCCAGUUAUUAAUAACAGCCCAGUGGCUUCGUGGUCCACAGGAGCAUACGGUGUUUUUCAUAAGACGGAGCUCACUCCUUUGACUUUGGACUUCACGUACAGAAGCCUCAAAGAGCCAAGGUUGCUAAGAGACCACCUGCGGGCAUUGCGUUGGGCAGACCCAGCGAAGAGCAGCGAGGUGCUGUCACCUCUGGCCACCCGGAAUUCAUUCCUUCAGGUGAGAGGGGAGCGCCCUUCUGGG
This is a long non-coding RNA of Octodon degus (degu), 425 nucleotides long. RefSeq lists it as uncharacterized. NCBI's taxonomy places the organism in Eukaryota, Metazoa, Chordata, Mammalia, Rodentia, Octodontidae. The transcript is spliced from 3 exons. The record is from RefSeq and is a predicted model, not a curated record.